CCUACGGGAGGCAGCAGUGAGGAAUAUUGGUCAAUGGACGAGAGUCUGAACCAGCCAAGUAGCGUGCAGGAUGACUGCCCUAUGGGUUGUAAACUUCUUUUAUAAAGGAAUAAAACGCGGCACGUGUGCCUUUUUGCAUGUACUUUAUGAAUAAGGACCGGCUAAUUCCGUGCCAGCAGCCGCGGUAAUACGGAGGAUCCGAGCGUUAUCCGGAUUUAUUGGGUUUAAAGGGAGCGUAGAUGGGAUGUUAAGCCAGUUGUGAAAGUUUGUGGCUCAACCGUAGAACUGCAAUGGAUACUGGCAUUCUUGAGUACGGGUAAGGUAGGCGGAAUUCGUGGUGUAGCGGUGAAAUGCUUAGAUAUCACGAAGAACCCCGAUUGCGAAGGCAGCAUACGAAAGCGUGACUGACGCUGAUGCGCGAAAGCGUGGGUAGCAAACAGGAUUAGAUACCCGAGUAGUC
This 460-nucleotide ribosomal RNA is filed under the name uncultured bacterium. Its description in RNAcentral is "partial 16S ribosomal RNA". It matches the Rfam family "Bacterial small subunit ribosomal RNA", at positions 338 to 795 of the family's 1533-position model. The record is from RNAcentral.